AGACUGUACACUCCCCAAGAGAAGGGGUUGCCUCUGGACUGCACUCUGCAAAUCAAGAGAACUUCAACAGUGCCACCUUGUGGAUAUUCUGUAAAUACAAGAUAUGAGAUGCAACCUGAGUCCACAGAAAGGCUUGGCUGCUGGAGGUUCUGAGUUCUGGCACUGCUCAUACCAGAGAGACGGCACCACAUGGUCAAUCACCUUACUUAAACUCACUUAUAAUUCUCUCCCCCUGAACCCCUCACCCUCCUUCCCUCUCAUACAAUUAAAACCAUAUCUGUUUCCUCCUUUCUCCCUAUCAUAAAUAACUGGGCUGUAAAUUGGGUUGUAAACAUAUAUUCUAUACUAUGGCCAAUAAGAAUUUUCCAGAGUAAUCCUAGCAAUUUCAGCCUUUGCACUAACUUUUGAACCAGCCCCCACCAUCACCCACAAUUCAAUCACCACAAUAACCAAGAUGUAUGAUCUUUGUCAUUUCAUGAAAUUUCUCUGAUCCUUGGCUUCCUGGUCUAUAGAAUGAGAAAGAGGAUUAAGUGAUGGCUAAGAUCCUUCGUAGCAAUUAAAUACUACACAAUUCUAGAAAGAGAGGGUUCUUAUUUUCUUUUCUAGAAAUACUAAUGAAUGAAAUGGAGCAAACAGUGCUAUAUUUCAGCAUAAAAUAAACCAGAAGAGUCAAAAUUUCCUAAGCUAACUCUCAAAUAUCCUUACACUCCCACUGUAGAAAGUAAAUUUACACAUUUUGGAAGAAAGAUUCGAAAUUCAAAACUGGCCUUUCAAUUUGCAUGAGACCUGAGAACAGCUCCUAUUUGCCAUGAAAAUACUUAGAGCAUGGAGUCCUGGUGCACUGUAAAUCACAGACAAGCUAAGGAAGGAGCUACUCUUUGAAGAGAAGAGCUCUUCUUUGAAGAGAAGCUCUGACGGGACAGGGCUGGUGGCAAUGGCACUUUUAUUCCUGGCUAUUUCUAGGUCUACCCUGGCAUGGCAGUUAUAACCUCUAGACCACAAUGACUGUUAUUAGAAGAAACAUUCUGGCCAGCAUUCUCUUCAGAAAUCUAUCUUACCUAGCCAAAUUUAAAAUUAAAGUUAAAAUCAAAAUUAAAGUAAGAAGGAGAAGAAGGAGGAGGAGGAGGAGGAGGAG
Long non-coding RNA from Neofelis nebulosa (Clouded leopard), 1135 nucleotides. RefSeq lists it as uncharacterized. Lineage: Eukaryota; Metazoa; Chordata; Mammalia; Carnivora; Felidae. The transcript has 2 exons. The record is from RefSeq and is a predicted model, not a curated record.